Molecule: ribosomal RNA, 253 nt
Filed under: uncultured bacterium
Lineage: Bacteria
Description: partial 16S ribosomal RNA
Rfam family: Bacterial small subunit ribosomal RNA
Source: RNAcentral
UACAGAGGUCCCGAGCGUUGUUCGGAUUCACUGGGCGUAAAGGGUGCGUAGGUGGCUUGGUAAGUUUGAUGUGAAAGCUCAGGGCUUAACCCUGAAAUGGCAUUGAAUACUACUGUGCUGGAGGUUUGGAGGGGGGACUGGAAUUCUUGGUGUAGCAGUGAAAUGCGUAGAUAUCAAGAGGAACACCAGUGGCGAAGGCGAGUCCCUGGACAACACCUGACACUGAGGCACGAAAGCUAGGGGAGCAAACAGG